This 503-nucleotide ribosomal RNA is filed under the name uncultured bacterium. RNAcentral's name for it is "partial 16S ribosomal RNA". It matches the Rfam family "Bacterial small subunit ribosomal RNA", at positions 30 to 523 of the family's 1533-position model. The record is from RNAcentral.
AUUGAACGCUGGCGGCAGGCUUAACACAUGCAAGUCGAGCGGGGUGAUGGUGCUUGCACUAUCACUUAGCGGCGGACGGGUGAGUAAUGCUUAGGAAUCUGCCUAUUAGUGGGGGACAACAUCUCGAAAGGGAUGCUAAUACCGCAUACGUCCUACGGGAGAAAGCAGGGGAUCACUUGUGACCUUGCGCUAAUAGAUGAGCCUAAGUCGGAUCAGCUAGUUGGUGGGGUAAAGGCCUACCAAGGCGACGAUCUGUAGCGGGUCUGAGAGGAUGAUCCGCCACACUGGGACUGAGACACAGCCCGGACUCCUACGGGAGGCAGCAGUGGGGAAUAUUGGACAAUGGGGGGAACCCUGAUCCAGCCAUGCCGCGUGUGUGAAGAAGGCCUUAUGGUUGUAAAGCACUUUAAGCGAGGAGGAGGCUCUUUUGGUUAAUACCCAAGAUGAGUGGACGUUACUCGCAGAAUAAGCACCGGCUAACUCUGUGCCAGCCGCCGCGGUAA